Molecule: long non-coding RNA, 477 nt
Organism: Oncorhynchus keta (chum salmon)
Lineage: Eukaryota; Metazoa; Chordata; Actinopteri; Salmoniformes; Salmonidae
Exons: 4
Source: RefSeq, a predicted model, not a curated record
CUGAUCUCCUCUCUGCUACAGUCCUGUCCCUCCUUCAGUCUGAUACAGGCACACACCUGUUCCCCCAACCUCUCAUCUCUCACACCAAUCACCUGGGGAGAAAGAGAGGUGGACAGGACAGGGAGAGAAUAUAAUCACCUGGGGAGAAAGAGAGAUGGACAGGACAGGGAGAGAAUAUAAUCACCUGGGGAGAAAGAGAGGGGGACAGGACAGGGAGAGAAUAUAAUCACCUGGGGAGAAAGAGAGGGGGACAGGACAGGGAGAGAAUAUAAUCACCUGGGGAGAAAGAGAGGUGGACAGGACAGGGAGAGAAUAUAAUCACCUGGGGAGAAAGAGAGGUGGACAGGACAGGGAGAGAAUAUAAACACCUGGGGAGAAAGAGAGGUGGACAGGACAGGGAGAGAAUAUAAACACCUGGGGAGAAAGAGAGGGGGACAGGACAGGGAGAGAAUAUAAUCACCUGGGGAGAAAGAGAGG